AUUGAACGCUGGCGGCAGGCUUAACACAUGCAAGUCGAGCGGGGGAAGGUAGCUUGCUACCGGACCUAGCGGCGGACGGGUGAGUAAUGCUUAGGAAUCUGCCUAUUAGUGGGGGACAACAUCUCGAAAGGGAUGCUAAUACACCAUACGUCCUACGGGAGAAAGCAGGGGAUCUUCGGCCCUUGCGCUAAUAGAUGAGCCUAAGUAGGAUUAGCUAGUUGGUGGGGUAAAGGCCUACCAAGGGGACGAUCUGUAGAGGGUCUGAGAGGAUGAUCCGCCACACUGGGACUGAGACACGGCCCAGACUCCUACGGGAGGCAGCAGUGGGGAAUAUUGGGCAAUGGGGGGAACCCUGACCCAGCCAUGCCGCGUGUGUGAAGAAGGCCUUAUGGUUGUAAAGCACUUUAAGCGAGGAGGAGGCUACUUUAGUUAAUACCUAGAGAUAGUGGACGUUACUCGCAGAAUAAGCACCGGCUAACUCUGUGCCAGCCGCCGCGGUAA
RNAcentral lists this ribosomal RNA (501 nucleotides) under uncultured bacterium. RNAcentral describes it as "partial 16S ribosomal RNA". It matches the Rfam family "Bacterial small subunit ribosomal RNA", at positions 30 to 523 of the family's 1533-position model. The record is from RNAcentral.